CUACGGGGCGCUGCAGUCGAGAAUCUUCGGCAAUGGGCGCAAGCCUGACCGAGCGACGCCGCGUGCGGGAUGAAGGCCCUCGGGUUGUAAACCGCUGUCAGAGGGGAAGAAAUGCAGGUGGGUUCUCCCAUCUGUUUGACUGAUCCUCAGAGGAAGUACGGGCUAAGUUCGUGCCAGCAGCCGCGGUAACACGAACCGUACGAACGUUAUUCGGAAUCACUGGGCUUAAAGAGUGCGUAGGCGGCUUUACAGGUGGGGUGUGAAAGCCCACGGCUCAACCGUGGAACUGCGCCCCAAACCGUAAGGCUUGAGGGAGAUAGAGGUGAGCGGAACUGAUGGUGGAGCGGUGAAAUGCGUUGAUAUCAUCAGGAACACCAGCGGCGAAGGCGGCUCACUGGGUCUUUUCUGACGCUGAGGCACGAAAGCUAGGGGAGCGAACGGGAUUAGAUACCCCUGUAGUC
This 461-nucleotide ribosomal RNA is filed under the name uncultured bacterium. Its description in RNAcentral is "partial 16S ribosomal RNA". It matches the Rfam family "Bacterial small subunit ribosomal RNA", at positions 339 to 795 of the family's 1533-position model. The record is from RNAcentral.